AUGAAGAACGUAGCGAAAUGCGAUAAGUAGUGUGAAUUGCAGAAUUCAGUGAAUCAUCGAAUCUUUGAACGCACAUUGCGCCCCAUGGUAUUCCGUGGGGCAUGCCUGUUCGAGCGUCAUUUACCCCCUCAAGCUCCGCUUGGUGUUGGGCGUCUGUCCCGCUUCGCGCGCGGACUCGCCCCAAAGGUAUUGGCAGCGGUCGUGCCAGCUUCUCGCGCAGCACAUUGCGCUUCUCGAGGCACCGGUGGGCCCGCGUCCAUCAAGCUCACCCCCCCAGUUUGACCUCGGAUCAGGUAGGGAUACCCGCUGAACUUAAGCAUAUCAAUAAGCGGAGGA
RNAcentral lists this unclassified non-coding RNA (336 nucleotides) under soil metagenome. Its description in RNAcentral is "partial contains 5.8S ribosomal RNA, internal transcribed spacer 2, and large subunit ribosomal RNA". The stretch from base 1 to 119 matches the Rfam family "5.8S ribosomal RNA", at positions 36 to 154 of the family's 154-position model. The record is from RNAcentral.